This is a small nuclear RNA of Leptinotarsa decemlineata (Colorado potato beetle), 112 nucleotides long. The record is from RefSeq and is a predicted model, not a curated record. NCBI's taxonomy places the organism in Eukaryota, Metazoa, Arthropoda, Insecta, Coleoptera, Chrysomelidae.
GUACUUGCUUCGGCGGUACAUAUACUAAAAUUGGAACGAUACAGAGAAGAUUAGCAUGGCCCCUGCGCAAGGAUUACUAGGGUAGUCAGGACAGAUCUAAAGAUCCAUUUUU